This is a long non-coding RNA of Xenia sp. Carnegie-2017, 396 nucleotides long. RefSeq lists it as uncharacterized. NCBI's taxonomy places the organism in Eukaryota, Metazoa, Cnidaria, Anthozoa, Malacalcyonacea, Xeniidae. The record is from RefSeq and is a predicted model, not a curated record. The transcript has 3 exons.
UGCGCACGCGAAAAAAUGGUUAUUUAUAAAUAACCAAAAUAAUUUCGAGACACUUGGCGUGCCAAAUGACGUCAGCAAGCAAUAAAAUAAUUUUCUCAGUCCUCCCCUGGAUAAGCACGCAUUUCCGCACUGUCGCGUUAUUGAAAUUAGAUCGCUUGUCGCGAAAAAUUUCAUUUUGUCUGUAAGUUUCCCGCUCGGCGUGUUUUCUAUUUGUCUUUUUUGUCAAAUAAAUAUGUCUCAAACGCACAAUCUCCAAAGAGCAAUUACCGAGGCCGUAGGAAGAGCAGUACACGAGGCACUGCGAGAUCAACAUGAAGAGUCCUCUGAUGCAGCUACUGCCCACGAAAAUAAUAAUGAACCACAGAAUUCCAACUCAAAUGAUGAAAAUAGGGGUAA